AUUGAACGCUGGCGGCGUGCUUAACACAUGCAAGUCGAACGCGAAAAUGACUUCGGUCAUGAGUAGAGUGGCGCACGGGUGAGUAACGCGUGGAUAAUCUGCCUUUUGUUUGGAAUAACAGUUGGAAACGACUGCUAAUACCGGAUACGCUCCAAUUGAACUUUUUGGAGGAAAGGUGACCUCUGCAUGCAAGUUACCGCAAAGAGAUGAGUCCGCGUCCCAUUAGCUAGUUGGUGAGGUAAUGGCCCACCAAGGCGACGAUGGGUAGCCGAUCUGAGAGGAUGAUCGGCCACACUGGAACUGAAACACGGUCCAGACUCCUACGGGAGGCAGCAGUGGGGAAUAUUGCGCAAUGGGCGAAAGCCUGACGCAGCGACGCCGCGUGAGGGAAAAGAAGGUCUUCGGAUCGUAAACCUCUGUCGGAAGGGAAGAACGUACAUUGUGCCAAUCAGCAGUGUAUUGACGGUACCUUCAAAGGAAGCACCGGCUAACUCCGUGCCAGCAGCCGC
This 509-nucleotide ribosomal RNA is filed under the name uncultured bacterium. RNAcentral describes it as "bacterial SSU rRNA". It matches the Rfam family "Bacterial small subunit ribosomal RNA", at positions 30 to 518 of the family's 1533-position model. The record is from RNAcentral.